This 492-nucleotide ribosomal RNA is filed under the name uncultured bacterium. Its description in RNAcentral is "partial 16S ribosomal RNA". It matches the Rfam family "Bacterial small subunit ribosomal RNA", at positions 29 to 507 of the family's 1533-position model. The record is from RNAcentral.
AGUGAACGCUGGCGGUAGGCCUAACACAUGCAAGUCGAACGGCAGCACAGUAAGAGCUUGCUCUUACGGGUGGCGAGUGGCGGACGGGUGAGGAAUACAUCGGAAUCUACUUUUUCGUGGGGGAUAACGUAGGGAAACUUACGCUAAUACCGUAUACGACCUACGGGUGAAAGCAGGGGAUCUUCGGACCUUGCGCGAUUGAAUGAGCCGAUGUCGGAUUAGCUAGUUGGCGGGGUAAAGGCCCACCAAGGCGACGAUCCGUAGCUGGUCUGAGAGGAUGAUCAGCCACACUGGAACUGAGACACGGUCCAGACUCCUACGGGAGGCAGCAGUGGGGAAUAUUGGACAAUGGGCGCAAGCCUGAUCCAGCCAUACCGCGUGGGUGAAGAAGGCCUUCGGGUUGUAAAGCCCUUUUGUUGGGAAAGAAAAGCAGCAGGUUAAUACCCCGCUGUUCUGACGGUACCGAAAGAAUAAGCACCGGCUAACUUCGUG